RNAcentral lists this ribosomal RNA (488 nucleotides) under Pimelia longula. Its description in RNAcentral is "partial large subunit ribosomal RNA". It matches the Rfam family "Bacterial large subunit ribosomal RNA", at positions 1851 to 2597 of the family's 2925-position model. Lineage: Eukaryota; Metazoa; Arthropoda; Insecta; Coleoptera; Tenebrionidae. The record is from RNAcentral.
AGUCUGGCCUGCCCAAUGAUUUUUGAAUGGCCGCAGUAUUUUGACUGUGCAAAGGUAGCAUAAUCAUUAGUUUUUUAAUUGAAAGCUGGAAUGAAAGGUUUGAUGAGAAAAUAACUGUCUCUGUAUGAAUGAUUUAGAAUUUCAAUUUUAAGUGAAAAAGCUUAAAUUUUUUAUAAAGACGAGAAGACCCUAUAGAGUUUUAUAUUUGACUUGAUUUAGAAUUUUUGGAAGUUAUUUUUUUUAUUUUGGGUUAAUUAUUUCAUUGGGGCGAUGGAAAAAUUUAAUUAACUUUUUUUUGUUUGUUACAUUGAUUUAUGAAUAUUUGAUCCUUAUUUUUGGAUUAUAAGACUAAAUUACCUUAGGGAUAACAGCGUAAUUUUUUUUGGAGAGUUCUUAUCGAUAAAAAAGUUUGCGACCUCGAUGUUGGAUUAAAGUUAAAUUCUGGUGUAGAAGCUGGAAUUUUAGGUCUGUUCGACCUUUGAAAUUUU